RNAcentral lists this ribosomal RNA (253 nucleotides) under uncultured bacterium. RNAcentral's name for it is "partial 16S ribosomal RNA". It matches the Rfam family "Bacterial small subunit ribosomal RNA", at positions 524 to 776 of the family's 1533-position model. The record is from RNAcentral.
UACGUAGGGGGCUAGCGUUGUCCGGAAUCAUUGGGCGUAAAGCGCGUGUAGGCGGUUUGGUAAGUCCGCUGUGAAAGUCGGGGGCUCAACCCUCGAAAGCCGGUGGAUACUGUCGGGCUAGAGUACGGAAGAGGCGAGUGGAAUUCCUGGUGUAGCGGUGAAAUGCGCAGAUAUCAGGAAGAACACCUAUGGCGAAGGCAGCUCUCUGGGACGGUACUGACGCUGAGACGCGAAAGCGUGGGGAGCGAACAGG